UGGUUGUCAGACGAUAACUCAAGAACGCUUGGGCCUAGGAUCAUGAAACUUCAUGGGUAGAUUGAUCAUGACUCGCAGAUGACCCCUAUUGAUUUUGAGGUCACUAGGUCAAAGGUCAAGGUCACGGUGACCCGAAAUAGUAAAAUGGUUUCCGGAUGAUAACUCAAGAAUGCAUACGCCUAGGAUCAUGAAACUUCAUGGGUAGAUUGAUCAUGACUCGCAGAUGACCCCUAUUGAUUUUGAGGUCACUAGGUCAAAGGUCAAGGUCACGGUGACCCGAAAUAGUAAAAUGGUUUCCGGAUGAUAACUCAAGAACGCAUACGCCUUGGAUCAUGAAACUUCAUGGGUAGAUUGAUCAUGACUUGCAGAUGACCCCUAUUGAUUUUGAGGUCACUAGGUCAAAGGUCAAGGUCACGGUGACCCGAAAUAGUAAAAUGGUUUCCGGAUGAUAACUCAAGAAUGCAUACGCCUAGGAUCAUGAAACUUCAUGGGUAGAUUGAUCAUGACUCGCAGAUGACCCCUAAUGAUUUUGAGGUCACUAGGUCAAAGGUCAAGGUCACGGUGACCCGAAAUAGUAAAAUGGUUUCCGGAUGAUAACUCAAGAAUGCAUAUGCCUAGGAUCAUGAAACUUCGUGGGUAGAUUGAUCAUGACUCGCAGAUGACCCCUAUUGAUUUUGAGGUCACUAGGUCAAAGGUCAAGGUCACGGUGACCCGAAAUAGUAAAAUGGUUUCGGGAUGAUAACUCAAUAAUGCAUACGCCUAGGAUCAUGAAACUUCAUGGGUAGAUUGAUCAAGACUCGCAGAUGACCCCUAUUGAUUUUGAGGUAACUAGGUCAAAGGUCAAGGUCACGGUGACCCGAAAUAGUAAAAUGGUUUUCGGAUGAUAACUCGAGAACGCAUAUGCCUAGGAUCAUGAAACUUCAUAGUUCGAUUGAUCAUGACUCGCAGAUGACCCCUAUUGAUUUUGAGGUCACAAGGUCAAAGGUCAAGGUCACGGUGACCCGAAAUAGUAAAAUGAUUUUCGGAUGAUAACUCAAGAACGCUUAUGCCUACGAUCAUGACACUUCAUAGGUAAAUUGAUCGUGACUCGCAGAUGACCCCUAUUGAUUUUCAGGUCACUAGGUCAAAGGUCAAGGUCACAGUGACAAAAAACGUAUUCACACAAUGGCUGCCACUACAACGGACAGCCCAUAUGGGGGGCAUGCAUGUUUUACAAACAGCCCUUGUUUAAAUUUUUUGCCAAUUUACCAAAACGUGAAAAGGCUCCUUUAAUCAAAUUUAUGUAAGUCAUUAUGUAGAAACACGUAUAACGAUGUGCGUUGUAACUUCAUUUUAAAACGUGUUGGCAUUAAUACGAAUUCCAAUACAUAUUAAAUGACGAAAAUAUUAA
Long non-coding RNA from Dreissena polymorpha, 1390 nucleotides. RefSeq lists it as uncharacterized. The record is from RefSeq and is a predicted model, not a curated record. Lineage: Eukaryota; Metazoa; Mollusca; Bivalvia; Myida; Dreissenidae. The transcript is spliced from 3 exons.